RNA transcript from Pseudoliparis swirei, 4980 nucleotides. It is a transcript of the gene named small G protein signaling modulator 2, with no coding region annotated. Lineage: Eukaryota; Metazoa; Chordata; Actinopteri; Perciformes; Liparidae. The transcript has 24 exons. The record is from RefSeq and is a predicted model, not a curated record.
UCUCUGCUUCAUGUGUUAAAGCUGCAUUCUCUCUCCUGACCACAAGGGGGUGACUCCUCUGGUUGUAUAGAAGUCUAUGCUUCAUGUGUUAAAGCUGCAUUCUCUCUACUGACCACCAGGGGGCGACUCCUCUGGUUGUAUAGAAGUCUAUGCUUCAUGUGUUAAAGCUGCAUUCUCUCUCCUGACCACCAGGGGGCGACUCCUCUGGUUGUAUAGAAGUCUAUGCUUCAUGUGUUAAAGCUGCAUUCUCUCUCCUGACCACAAGGGGGCGACUCCUCUGGUUGUAUAGAAGUCUGUUUAUAUAGUCUCUUGAUUUAGGAGGAGGAGGAGGAGUAUGGUCUAUAAAUGUUAGGAGGACAACAACACAACGGGUCGAGGAGUCGAGUGAAGACGGAUCGAUUCCUCCGGGACGUGAAUCACUUCCUCCUUAGCGGCCUCGCGGUGAAGCAGGUCAUGGAGGAGGCGGUGACCAAGAAGUUUGUCCACGAAGACAGCAGCCACAUCGUUGCUCUGUGCACCGCCAUCGAGGCCUGCCUCGGCCACCUGCUGAAGCGGCGUGCGGCCGGCUUCCUGCGCAGCGACAAGAUCGCCGCCCUGUUCACCAAAGUGGGCAAAGUGUGCGACACGGCCGGAGACGUGUGCCGCAAGGUGCAGGAGCAGCUGCAGCAGCAGGCGGAGCUCAGGAGGACCCAGAGCGCCGGCCCCGAGCCUCUGAGGAGGCAGGGCUCCUCCACCAGCAGCCGGCCCCCUCAGCCGCUCUCCCCCCAGGCCAUCAAACACAUCUGGGUCCGGACGGCUCUCUUCGAGAAGGUCCUGGACCAGCUGGUGCAGUACAUCGUGGACAACUCCAGCAAAUACUACGAGAGGGAAGCUCUGAUGCAUGACACGGUGUUUGGCCCCAUCUUGGCUACCCUGCUGGUGGGGCCCUGUGCUCUGGAAUACACCAAACUGAAGACGUCGGAUCACUUCUGGACCGACCCCUCGGCCAACGAGCUCGUUCAGCGCCACCGGAUCCACGGCGCCCACCGGGGCCAAGACACCUCGGCCGGCCGGCGGCCCGCUCUCGGGAUCCGUAAGAGGCAGUCGAGCGGCAGCAUGUCGGAGGACCGCUUCGCCGCGUCGGCGCGGGAGUACGUGGAGUCUCUCCACCAGAACUCCAGGACGCACCUCCUGUACGGGAAGAACAACGUGCGGGUGCAGCCGAAGAAGGACAUGGAGGUGUUGCGCGGCUACCUGUCGCUCCACCAGGCCGGUGAUAACCUGACCCUGAAGUGGACGCCCAACCAGCUCAUCAACGGCACGCUGGGCAACUGCGACCUGGAGAAGAGUAUCUACUGGGACUACGCUCUGACUGUGCCUCUGCACCAGAUCGUCUGCAUCCACUGUCACCAACGCCCUGAUUGUGGCGGCACGUUGGUUCUGGUCAGUCAGGAUGGAAUCCAGCGGCCGCCUCUCCACUUCCCCCCCGGUGGUCACCUGCUGGCUUUCCUCUCCUGCCUGGAAACGGGCCUUUUACCGCGGGGUCAGCUGGAGCCCCCCCUGUGGUCCCAGAAAGGCAAGGGAAAAGUGUUCCCUAAACUGAAGAAGAGGAGCAGCAACGCCCGCCUCCUUGACCAGGACGGGAACGGCGAGGAGCAGACGGCCGCCGACUACGUGUUCCGCAUCGUGUACCCCGGGUACCGCCAGGACGCCAACCACGGGGACAUGAUGGAGAUGCAGGGUUUCGGAGGCGGCCCGUCGCCGUGGCGACAGGCCGAGGCGGCCACCCAGGAGCCGCCGUGCCCGUCCUGCUCCACGGUCGGCGCCGGCGCCGCGGCGUUCGGCUUCGCGGCGUUCGGCUGCACCUGCAACCACAACGGAGCCGACAUCCACACAAUUCCUCUUAAGAUGCUCUGCCAGAACAUGAAGAGGCAGAUCGUCUCCAGAGCCUUUUAUGGAUGGCUGGCCUACUGCCGUCACCUGUCCACCGUGCGGACUCACCUGUCGGCGCUGGUCAACCACAGCAUUGUGCCCCCGGAGGCGGCCGGGGGCCUCAGCAAGGAGGUGUGGAGCAAGUACCAGAAAGACUGCAAGAACUACAAGGAGCUGGAGCUGCUGAGGCUGGUUUAUUACGGCGGCGUGCAGCACGACAUCAGGAAGGAGGUGUGGCCUUUCCUGCUGGGCCACUACAAGUUUGGCAUGGGCAAGAAGGACAUGAGCCAGAUUGACGCGAAGAUCAGCGAGCGCUACCAGCAGGUGAAGCGUGAGUGGAAGGCCUGCGAGGUGAUCGUCAAGCAGAGGGAGAAGGAGAUGCAGUCGGCCAUCUUCGCCAAGCUCUCGUCGGGCAGCAGCAUCGACAGCCACGUCCUGCGACUCGUCCACAGAGACUCCACGCUCAGCAACGAGGUGUUCAUGUCUGUGGACGAGCCGGACGCAGGCAGCCAGGAGACCCCCAGCGGAGAGGACGGCACCCCCACCAUGACCGCCCUGGUGGCCCCCGCCGCCCAGCCCCCGGAGGAGCGCCCUCUGGUGGAGUUCGACUCCCCCGACUCGGGCCUCCCCUCCUCCAGGAACUACUCGGUGACCUCCGCCCAUUCCCAGAUCCUGUCCAGCAUCGACGACGGUCAGAGCACGGAGGAGGAGGGGGUCGGCGGGGAGGAGGGCCGGACCCCGGGCCUGCUGCCGGGGGGCUGCGUGGGUCCUCUGACGGAGGACCGGCUGUGCAGCCAGCUGGACAAACUGCUGACCGGCGGAGCGGCGGCAGGGACCGUGUCGCCGUCGCUCUCCUCGUAUACGAUCGAGCUGCUGGACACGGUCGCCCUGAACCUGCACCGGAUAGACAAAGACGUGCAGCGCUGCGACCGCAACUACUACUACUUCACCCCGGCCAACCUGGAGAAACUACGCAACAUCAUGUGCAGCUAUGUGUGGGAGCAUCUAGAGGUCGGCUACGUUCAGGGGAUGUGUGACCUGCUGGCGCCGCUCAUGGUCAUCCUGGACGAUGAGUGCCUGGCCUUCAGCUGCUUCACUCAGCUGAUGAAGAGGAUGACUCAGAACUUCCCCAACGGAGGAGCCAUGGACACUCACUUCGCCAACAUGAGGUCCCUGAUCCAGAUCCUGGACUCGGAGCUGUUCGAGCUCAUGCAGCAGAACGGAGACUACACUCACUUCUACUUCUGCUACCGCUGGUUCCUGCUGGACUUCAAGAGGGAGCUCCUGUACGAGGACGUGUUUGCGGUGUGGGAGGUGAUCUGGGUCUCUUCCAGGAUCUCCUCGCAGCACUUCGUCCUCUUCCUGGCUCUGGCCCUCGUCACAGUUUACCGUGAGAUCAUCGUGGACAACAACAUGGACUUCACGGACAUCAUCAAGUUCUUCAACGAGAUGGCCGAGCGGCACGACGUGCAGCACAUCCUGAAGGUCGCGCGUGAGCUGGUGCACAAAGUCCAGUCUCUGAUGGACAACAAGUGACUCUAGAGGAGGAGGAGGAGGAGGAGGAAGAGGAGGAGGAGGAGGAGGAGGUCUCUCCCUAUCAUCCCUUCAGAAAGAUCAAGAGUGUUCCUAGGCCUCCACCUCAGCCUAGACUCCUCCCAGCCCAGCUCGAGGUGCUUCGGUUGCUUCUCUCCGUGAGGUUUCCUUCACGGGGGGUUGAAUGGCGGGCCGCGUUUCCUGAGCGGUCGGCGGCCGGCGUGCGUUUGACGCUCGUUCCGUAGGCGGCCAGAAAGAAACGUGGACAUCGGCGUUCCUCCUUCAGGGGUCAGACACAUGGUGACCAAUAGAUUUACAGGACUUUAAUCCAAAUGUCCAUGAUCUCUUUUUAGUUGAGGUGCGUUCACUUGCAGCACGGAAAAUCUGCAAGUAUGAAGAGCGUCAUUUCUUUCAAACGGACAAAAAUUGCCAAACUUGACGCUUUAAAACAUCAGUCCACAAACUAUUCCUUAUUUACCGACUAUAUGAAAAGACAUUAGCCGGGGCACACACACACACACACACACACACACACACACACACACUAAUUGAUGUGUUGUUGAUAGAUCUAAGCGUUACCAGCCUCAUCCAUGUUUUCCUUAAAGAGUCCAACGCACGUUCAGGAAACAGCCGCCGCAGCCGCCUGUGAACGCGGCGCUCUGAUUGGUUGAAGCAACGCGCCCCGAGCAGAAGCUUUCUCUUAAUGCCAAACGCUCUCCAGUGUUCAGCGAGUCAGUAUUUACACCAGUGUUUUUUGUUUUUUAUACGUCCCAUGUGACCCUUUGACCUCCGAUCUUACUCGUCUCCUUCGAAAAGAAUAAAAAAGUCCCGACACGGCUGCAUACGAUUGGUCAUCCAGCACCGACCUGUGAUCCAAGUGCCAAGAGUCUUCCCCCAACCAAUGAAAGUGUACUGUAGUCAUCCGGCUCUCCGAUUCGCUCGUUGGAUCCUGGGGGGUGUAGAGGGGGGCGUGGCCUCACCUCACCUUGCAGCCUCACUUUGAGAGCUUUCUCUUCCAAUCAGGACGUCGUAUAACCAAAGCCUUGACGACAGCCCCCUUUCUGUGGCAUGACGACACAAUUGUGCAAUUUAAUAGCGCAUCUUGAAGACUGUUUACUACGUGUGUGUGAAAUAUUUUUGGAAGAAACAAAAAAAAACGCUGAUCUUUGGAUUCUUUGACUAUAACUGUGCAAUUUAUUGUCGUUUUGAGGAAAAAUUAAAGAAAAGUCUAUAUAUUGCUGUAAAUACGAAAAAACCGAAAGCCCAAUAUUUAUAUGAAGACAGUCGGAACAUAAAUAUAUAUAUGAAUAUAUAUACAACUUAUUUUAAGAUCUAUUUUUUAUGUUGGUGGUAGCAGCCUGUGUUACACGUCGACUGUUACGUGUUUCCUUCUCAAUGUUGUGCACUGACUUCAAAAACCUUUCAAAUUUGUAUUUAUUAAGAGAGACGACGAUCGCAUUGCUGACGACGUAUUGGUAAAGGAUGUUUCUUUUUGCCUUGAAUGUAAUGUAUUAUUAAAGAAGAGGUUGUUCAUUA